RNAcentral lists this long non-coding RNA (707 nucleotides) under Parus major (Great Tit). RNAcentral's name for it is "lncRNA (ENSPMJG00000007607.1)". Lineage: Eukaryota; Metazoa; Chordata; Aves; Passeriformes; Paridae. The record is from RNAcentral.
ACUUAAUCAGGCUUUCUCGUGGCUGUCGCCCUUAUGAUAGAGGAAAAUAUUCUCCCUUUGUGUAUUUAUUAACAUUUUGCAUACAACAUCCAGAGCAGAGUAUCCCUCUGUCACCAGAUGCUGCUGGAAUCUUGCCGCCCGGGCGGGCAGGAGGACUCAGCCUGGAGCGGGAGGUGAGGACCCUGUUAGCAGGGUGCCUGCAAGGGGAGGGAGGCAGUCAGCAGCCAGCCUGUCUUCAUCCCUGAUGUGCUCUGCCCCAGCCCAGGCAAGCAGGUUUCUCUUCCUGAAAUGGGCAUUUGAAACAGGGUUGGAGCAGCAGCAACUGGCAAAAAUAUCGGGUGCACUCAGCUGAGCAAAGCAUGGCAAUAUCAGCCCUGGUGAGAUGAGUGAGCUCUGGGCUCUGGAGACAAAGAACAAAAACCUGCUGUUGGACACAAGUUUGAGAGGAGUGAAGAACAAGGUUUUGUAUAUCCAACAGAAAUAACAUUUCAGACCUACAAUAACACAUAGCUUUAAACUGAGCAGAGAGUUCAAGCUACUAAUAUAUCUCAUUGUCAUAUUUCUUCUAGGUUUGCUUUGUGCUGAAGGGAUACUGUCAAAGGGCCUAAGCCAGAACCUUCAGGUUUAUAAAACAAAAGGGGCCUUUAAUUUAUAUUUUUUUUUAUAAUUUCAAUAAAAUAAUACAUCCAUUGCUUGUUUAAAUAUUG